Long non-coding RNA from Jaculus jaculus (lesser Egyptian jerboa), 945 nucleotides. RefSeq lists it as uncharacterized. Lineage: Eukaryota; Metazoa; Chordata; Mammalia; Rodentia; Dipodidae. The record is from RefSeq and is a predicted model, not a curated record. The transcript is spliced from 3 exons.
CAAUCACAGACACUCCUGUAUCCACUUCGCCAGUUGUGAGACUGGGGUCCAUCACACUUGCUACCCCUUUCCUUCCCCCUGCCGUUUGAAGCUCAGACUAACUCCCUCACAGUACUGAGAUUCCGGAGUAAAGCCUGAGAAGUGGAGCUGUACCCAGAACAACCUCCCUCCAUUAAGGGUCCUUGGCUACAGGCUGGCCAAAGAGAAGUUGUCUCCAAAGACUGACCAGCGCCAGGCGUGGUGGCGCGCGCCUUUAGGAGGAUCACCGUGAGUUCAAGGCCACCCUGAGACUACAUAGUAAAUUCCAGGUCAGCCUGGGCUAGAGUGAGACCCUACCUCAGUAAAAACAAAAAUAAAUAAAAAGUCUGACCAGCAAGAACUAGAAAGCCCUGGGAUAUAGUUGAACUCUUCCUUAAAGAGGAUACAGGAGGGCUGGAAAGAUGGCCUAUUCGUUAAGGCACUUUCCUGCAAAGCCAAAGGACCCAGAUUUGAUUCCCCAGGACCCAGGUUCCACAGGCGUGCACCUUAACCGCUAAGUCAUCUCUCCAGCCCUCAGCCAGCAUUCUUGAAAGAAAAGACAGACACAGGAGCAGCAGGUAGUUGGACAGGUGGUCUGGCCUUAUUUAUGGCAUCCCUUGGAUCUAUUGCUAUCCUCAUACAGCACCCAACCAGAGGCCCAGGCCAAGGCUUAUGCCAGACCCCAGCAGGAUCAGAAGAACCCACUGAUGAGCCAGAGCUACUUCCUGUGGUCUUGACCAAGCCCAAACCAGACAUGGCUGUCUGCGAGUGUCCUCCAGACACUGGACCCCACGGGUGAGACACUGUGGGGCCUUCAGGACUGCACCAGAGCUUGACUUUGCCUAAAAAAGGAAGCAGUGCAGCUAAGCCUGAGCAGCUUACUGCAGGAACAAGCUAGAGCUGUGUCCCCACCACCGUCCCCCACCC